This 2145-nucleotide long non-coding RNA is filed under the name Homo sapiens (human). Its description in RNAcentral is "HSALNT0379504". Lineage: Eukaryota; Metazoa; Chordata; Mammalia; Primates; Hominidae. The record is from RNAcentral.
GUUUCCUUCCUGCUGGGGGGCUUCUGUUCUCCCAGACCGGGUCGGUGCUCUUUUCCCCCGGCGCCCCUCCCCCACCCAGCCCGGGCCUUGCCUGCCGCAGCCACCUUCUUCUCUGAUGCUGUGUCCUGGACUUGGUGACAAUGGCAAAUUGACAAGAAGGCGAGCCUGGGCCUUUCCUGCGGCGACAUCCAGCUUCCCCCGCCCCUCCCUGGGUGGGUGCCCACCACACGCCCAGCCUGCCGCGUGCUUAUCCAGGCCCUCCAGGCCAGGCCUCCGGGUCUUAUGGAAGAAGGCCCCGUGUCUGGGCAGUGCCGUGGCUGUGAGUGAGCAUCCGGGGCCAGUCAGAUGUGCCGUCUCCGGAGGUCACUUCCAUAGUGGCCAUCAACAGCUUGGCCAAACUCGGCCGCAGGAUCUUUUCCUAUCAAUUGCAGGAUGGACUCUUCCCGCAGCCAUGCGACCUGUGGCCCGCGGUCCUGCUCCCUGAGCUGGAGGAGGCUGAACAGAAUGAGCAGGGUCUCACUCUGUAGCCAAGACUGGAGUGCAGUGGCACAAUCUCGGCUCACCGCAACCUCCACUUCCCAGGCUCAAGUGAUUCUCCUGACUCAGCCUCCCGAGUAGCUGGGAUUACAGGUGUGCACCACCACGCCUGACUAAUUUUUGUAUUGUUAGUAGAGACGGGGUUUCACCAUGUUGGCCAGGUUGGUGUUGAACUCCUGACUUCAAAUGAUCCACCUGCCUUGGCCUCCCAAAGUGCUGGGAUUACAGGCCUGAGCCACUGCGCCCGGACUUUUUUUUUUUUUUGAGAUGGAGUUUCGCUCUGUCACCCAGGCUGGAGUGUGGUGGCAUGAUCUCGGCUCACUGCAACCUCCACCUCCCAGGGUCAAGUGAUUCUCCUGGGUCAGCCUCCGGAGUAGCUGGGAUUACAGGAAGUAUUUUUUGAUGCUCUUGCAUCUGGGGCUGACCCAACACUGCUCAUCCCAUGUGGUCAUUGCUGGCUUACAGGUCAGUCUGGCCCUUGCAUUCGAUGUUCUGUAAGGACAGAGCUCAUGGUGCUGGCUCUGAGAAGGAAACAGGAAGUGGCAGAUGGAAGGUUUUUCUUCCCAGGGUCUCCCCAAGAGCUGCUUCCUUUGACUCCUGCUGUGUGUAGUUCUGCUGACAAUGACCUGGACAGCUCUGCGCCAUGCACAGCGUCUCUUUUCUCCGACUUACCAAAUUUUAGACACUACUGACUCCUCCAUGUGAAAGAUGGGAAUUCAGCUACAUCACAUUACCCUACAAACUUUAUUGUUAAUAUUUCUUCCCGGUCAGCCCCAAACACUGAAUGUAAAUACGGUCCAACAUCAACCUGCAAACGAACACUGACAUGAAAGUGCAGUUGGAAAGGAUCUCGCAAAGGAACAGAAUCUGGUGAUCCUAAUCGUAAUGAACGUGAUCGCCGGGUAUUGAGAGCUUGCAGGUACCAGGGCUCCGGCACUACGUGUUUCACAGGGGCCACUCGGUAGACCUCUUGGUGACCUUGAGGUCAGGUACCACGUUCCCAUUUUACAGAGGAGGAAACUGAGAUAACCUACGACAGCGAAAAGGUAGCAGAGCUGGGACUGGUGCCCACCUACGCUCACUUGUGUCAUGUGGUUAAGCCCUUUUGGCAACAUAAGACCUUUCCCAAGAAUGUGCCUCGGUGCAGAGGAAGACGGUGGGGGCAGGCCCCCUCCCCGGGAUGCUCCACCCUCCCUGACCUCACACGGGUGCAACCUGGGCCGUGGCCGAGACCUGCUGUGUGGCAGACAAUGGGAAGCCUGUGUGUCGUCCUGGGUGCCGGAUUUAGACAAUAUUUAGCUUUCCCUUGGUGGAAAAGCCUUUCCCCUCCUGCUUUGGGCAGGAACUGGUUCCUGUUGGGCGGGGCCUGGCUGCUGCCCCACCCCCACCCGGCCGGGCACCUUGACCGGCAGCUCUCCGGGCUGCUCCCUGCCUGUGUCCCUGAGCACUGACUCCAGAGGUUUAAUCAUUAACGGGCACGUUUGGCCUUCGGUCGUGGGCUGGAAUUUGGGACCUGUGCCCGGGAACAAUGAUCUCCGACACAUUAUUUUGUGUAAAAUCACUUUUAGCUGCCAUUAGCUAAUAAAGCUGGAAUAAAGUGAGGUCCAU